AAAUGUUUAUUAAAUUUAAUAAUAUUCAAUUUUUUUCUUAGGAGAGAAUCGGGCAGUCCUCAGUUUAUUCAAUGACAUGGAGGGUGUUGCGAUGGAGAAAGCAUUCCAAAAAAACAAUUCCUCUACACCUGGAGAUGAAGCCUGUCAA
Molecule: long non-coding RNA, 148 nt
Organism: Bufo bufo (common toad)
Lineage: Eukaryota; Metazoa; Chordata; Amphibia; Anura; Bufonidae
Exons: 3
Source: RefSeq, a predicted model, not a curated record